CUGUUUAUUACUUGAAAUCACGGUGCUCGUGUAGGUUUUUUUUUUUUUUUCAAUUUUAUGUUUUCAUACAUGAAACUCACGCCAGGUGCCGGGACCCCCACAGCCCGACCCCCCGAGGGCGGGUAAUGCUUUCUUGGGCAGCCCUUACCGGGCAGAGGGUGGCGAGCCGGUUCCUGCCUGGAGGUUCCACCCUCAACCAGUGGAGGCACAGACGUUAUUUAAAAAUCGUUAAAAAACAAAACAGAACACACAUUUAAAUAGGUAUCCAAGACAGUUCUUCAAAAAACAAACCCGCCCCUUUUACUCCUUUUUUUUCUAUUUUUUUUUCUUUUUUUUUUGGAAAAAUGAAAACAAAACAAAACCCAAAAUCCUUGAGCUCUACCCUCUGGGACCCCUCCCUGCCCACCCUCCCACAAAAAAAUUUACAGCGCUACAGUUAUAACACGUGAUGUUCACAUCUGAAACCAUUAACUUUCAACACAUAAAGGGGGGGAGUUGAGGACCUGGGGUUCACCUACGAGAACAACGGGUGAAGGAGGUAGGAAGCAAAGCCCAUGAAGAGUCCAGGAAACCACGGUCAGAACUUUUUAAAAAAAGAAAAAAAUAAUAAAAAAGAAGAAAAGAAAAAAAGACUUCUGGCUGGGGGAGUGGCCGCCUGCCCUCCAGGGCUGGGCCACGUUCUCUCCGGGGCUCUCGGAGUCCCCGCCGCCCUGGGCUGGGGUGCGAGGGGCGAGGGUGGCCGAUCCGAAGAUCCUAAGCCACCACGAACUCUGACUUGAUGUCAGGGUUGACUUCUGGCUUCCACACGGAGUCCUCGAAGUCGAGGCCCAAGCC
RNAcentral lists this long non-coding RNA (834 nucleotides) under Homo sapiens (human). RNAcentral describes it as "HSALNT0254193". Lineage: Eukaryota; Metazoa; Chordata; Mammalia; Primates; Hominidae. The record is from RNAcentral.